This 68-nucleotide transfer RNA is filed under the name Quasipaa yei (Ye's spiny-vented frog). RNAcentral's name for it is "tRNA-Ser". The record is from RNAcentral. Lineage: Eukaryota; Metazoa; Chordata; Amphibia; Anura; Dicroglossidae.
GAGCCUGUCUGGCGCACAUGGGUACUGCUAAUUCCUCAUUACUGUGGUUCAAUUCCACAGCCCGCUCG